Molecule: long non-coding RNA, 893 nt
Filed under: Equus caballus (horse)
Lineage: Eukaryota; Metazoa; Chordata; Mammalia; Perissodactyla; Equidae
Description: lncRNA (ENSECAG00000045266.1)
Source: RNAcentral
GUAUCAAUUUAUACCAUUACUGAAGGUGUUAACUUUGGUUGCUUGAUUAAGCAAUGAAAGAGAGUGCCUCACAGCCUUGCCAGCAGAAUGUGUUGCCAAGAUUUUUAAUUUUUUGCCAAUCCAAUAGAAGAGAAAUGGUGUCUCAGGACAUAUUGAAUUGAAUGCUAACAAUACUGACAUUGACAACAUGACCUGUAGCUAUUGGUGGAGAGAGCAUGGUGCCUGGCACAUAGGAGGCAAACCACGGAUGCUGACUCGUACUGCACGUGUGAUGUUCCUAUUGACAGAGGAUGGCUGAGAACUGCAAAGGGUUGCUGCAUGGAGGCAUUCGGGCCCUGGUGAGAGUUGGAGUGGAUGCUCCCUCGAGCUCCCUUCUAUAAACGAAAACCAACUAUUCAUUGAUCAUCUGGGUCCAAAAAGAAAGAGUCAACGCUCAUUAACAUUUGUUUCUUUCCUUCCAGAAAACACUAUGAUUCCAGGUUCGGGUAGUUCUUAUUAUAACUUCUAGAAUUGGAGGCCAGGAGAGCUGAGGCUAGUGUACUUGAUGUUAACUGAAGAUGCGUGAAGAGGAGAAAGUCAACUCGACAUCAGCCUCUUUCUAAUGCUUGCUGAUGUAUAAAACAUCCCAGCCACCGGAGCCUGAAGGCUGGAAGUAAACUGCAUUGCCCCAAAGAACAACGUAAGUCUCUGUGUUCUCCACGCUUGAGAACUGUUUUCACAGAAACAUCACACACCAAAUAGUAGAGUGUUUUACUCUCCUUUCCCAGCACCAUGACAUCAGGGAGAGGCCGAGUUUAACCUGCCCACGGUAGAGAGGUUUGCUGGUGACGAUGAAUGGAGAUGUGGCUGGAUCUAUGUUUCCCGGGUGUUCACCGCGCUAUGCUGUGUCUUCA